AAAUUUUACAAUCAUUAGCGGAGGAAAGAAACCAACAGGGAUUGCCUUAGUAACUGCGAGUGAAGCGGCAAAAGCUCAAAUUUGUAAUCUGGCGUCUCCGGCGCCCGAGUUGUAAUUUGGAGAGGCACCUUCGGGGGGAGCGCCGGCCUAAGUUCCUUGGAACAGGACGUCACAGAGGGUGAGAAUCCCGUGUUCGGCCGGCUGCCUUCUUCCAUGUGAAGCGCCUUCGACGAGUCGAGUUGUUUGGGAAUGCAGCUCUAAAUGGGUGGUAAACUCCAUCUAAAGCUAAAUAUUGGCGGGAGACCGAUAGCGCACAAGUAGAGUGAUCGAAAGAUGAAAAGCACUUUGAAAAGAGAGUUAAAAAGUACGUGAAAUUGUUGAAAGGGAAGCGCUUGAGACCAGACUCGGCCGGAGGCCAUCAGGCCCGGUUCUCCGGGCUGCACUUGCCUCUGGUCGGGCCAGCAUCGGUUGCGACGGCGGGAUAAAGGUCCGGGGAAUGUGGCUCCUCUCGGGGAGUGUUAUAGCCCCGGGCGCCAUGCCGCCUGUCGCGACCGAGGACCGCGCUUCGGCUAGGAUGCUGGCGUAAUGGUCUUCAGCGACCCGUCUUGAAACACGGACCAAGGAGUCUAACAUCUAUGCGAGUGUUCGGGUGGAAAACCCUUGCGCGUAAUGAAAGUGAACGGAGGUGUGAAGCCGCAAGGCCGCAACAUCGACCGAUCCUGAUGUCUUCGGAUGGAUUUGAGUAGGAGCAUAGCUGUUGGGACCCGAAAGAUGGUGAACUAUGCCUGAAUAGGGUGAAGCCAGAGGAAACUCUGGUGGAGGCUCGCAGCGGUUCUGACGUGCAAAUCGAUCGUCAAAUUUGGGUAUAGGGGCGAAAGACAAUCAACAUCUGU
RNAcentral lists this ribosomal RNA (893 nucleotides) under Trichaleurina javanica. Its description in RNAcentral is "LSU rRNA". It matches the Rfam family "Eukaryotic large subunit ribosomal RNA", at positions 30 to 947 of the family's 3401-position model. The record is from RNAcentral. Lineage: Eukaryota; Fungi; Ascomycota; Pezizomycetes; Pezizales; Chorioactidaceae.